This 496-nucleotide ribosomal RNA is filed under the name uncultured bacterium. Its description in RNAcentral is "partial 16S ribosomal RNA". It matches the Rfam family "Bacterial small subunit ribosomal RNA", at positions 28 to 506 of the family's 1533-position model. The record is from RNAcentral.
GAUGAACGCUGGCGGCGUGCCUAAUACAUGCAAGUCGAGCGAACAGAUAAGGAGCUUGCUCCUUUGACGUUAGCGGCGGACGGGUGAGUAACACGUGGGUAACCUACCUAUAAGACUGGGAUAACUUCGGGAAACCGGAGCUAAUACCGGAUAACAUUUGGAACCGCAUGGUUCUAAAGUGAAAGAUGGUUUUGCUAUCACUUAUAGAUGGACCCGCGCCGUAUUAGCUAGUUGGUAAGGUAACGGCUUACCAAGGCGACGAUACGUAGCCGACCUGAGAGGGUGAUCGGCCACACUGGAACUGAGACACGGUCCAGACUCCGACGGGAGGCAGCAGUAGGGAAUCUUCCGCAAUGGGCGAAAGCCUGACGGAGCAACGCCGCGUGAGUGAUGAAGGGUUUCGGCUCGUAAAACUCUGUUAUUAGGGAAGAACAAAUGUGUAAGUAACUGUGCACGUCUUGACGGUACCUAAGCAGAAAGCCACGGCUAACUACGG